GUGGGAGGGGGCUUGCCCCCGAUGACGGAGUGUCAGUCGACAUCUAUGUGACUGAUCCACCGCUAUCGGGGGCAAGCCCCCUCCCAC
RNAcentral lists this unclassified non-coding RNA (87 nucleotides) under Pseudomonas sp. NFPP24. RNAcentral also lists the same sequence under 1 other name. The record is from RNAcentral. Lineage: Bacteria; Pseudomonadati; Pseudomonadota; Gammaproteobacteria; Pseudomonadales; Pseudomonadaceae.